GUCAUUCCCAGCAAGGACUGGUGCAGGAGGCAAGCAUGUUUAUCGAUGUGGUGGUUCUCGCCGGUAUCGGCACCGUCGGCCUGAUGGUCGCGUUCUUCGCCGGCGUCGGUUAUUUCAUCUGGAAGGAUUCGCACAAGCGCAAGACGCGCUGAAUCCCUCCGGCAACGGGCACGCAAGGCAAUUCGGGCGACUUAGGUCGCCCUUUUUUUGU
RNAcentral lists this small RNA (211 nucleotides) under Pseudomonas taeanensis MS-3. Its description in RNAcentral is "PhrS". It matches the Rfam family "PhrS". Lineage: Bacteria; Pseudomonadati; Pseudomonadota; Gammaproteobacteria; Pseudomonadales; Pseudomonadaceae. The record is from Rfam by way of RNAcentral.